AUUGAACGCUGGCGGCAGGCCUAACACAUGCAAGUCGAGCGAGCGGCGGACGUGUGAGUAAUGUCGGGGAAACUGCCUGAUGGAGGGGGAUACCUACUGGAAACGGUAGCUAAUACCGCAUACCAUCAGAUGUGCCAAGAUGGGAUUAGCUAGUAGGUAGGGUAACGGCUCACCUAGGCGACGAUCCCUAGCUGGGCUGAGAGGAUGACCAGCCACACUGGAACUGAGACACGGUCCAAACUCCUACGGGAGGCAGCAGUGGGGAAUAUGGCACAAUGGGCGCAAGCCUGAUGCAGCCAUGCCGCAUGUAUGAAGAAGGCCUUCGGGUUGUAAAGUACUUUCAGCGGGGAGGCGUUACCCGCACAAGAAGCAACGGCUAACUACGUGCCAGCAGCCGCGGUAAUUC
This 406-nucleotide ribosomal RNA is filed under the name uncultured bacterium. RNAcentral describes it as "partial 16S ribosomal RNA". It matches the Rfam family "Bacterial small subunit ribosomal RNA", at positions 30 to 526 of the family's 1533-position model. The record is from RNAcentral.